This is a long non-coding RNA of Populus euphratica (Euphrates poplar), 395 nucleotides long. RefSeq lists it as uncharacterized. The record is from RefSeq and is a predicted model, not a curated record. Lineage: Eukaryota; Viridiplantae; Streptophyta; Magnoliopsida; Malpighiales; Salicaceae. The transcript is spliced from 2 exons.
UGUACAAGAGAACUUUCAGGUGGUUGGCUGUCCUAGUUGUCAACACACGUGGAAACAGUGUUCCCUACGCUGUCGUUUAGUGCUCUUGCAAUCAGAGGCAAUGUUAUUCAGUUAAGUGAAACGGUGCGUAUUGCAUUAAGUUUAUAACUUGCAACGGUCACUAAGUUCAAAUUUUCAAUUGCCAGUUCUUUCUUCCAAUCUUCCCAAUCCUCCUUGUUCUUCAUUUCUCGUUCCUAACAUCUCCCUACUCCUAUUCACACUGAAGUCUAUGUAAAGAGGGAUGGUUUUUCAGGGAUGCAAAUGAGUGUUAACAAAGUGAGAAAGUUGGAGUUCUUAAUUGCUGAUGUCGUGGCUCAAGGGAGAAUCUCACUAAUAAUAGAUGGAAGUUUAUUUUA